This 338-nucleotide unclassified non-coding RNA is filed under the name Hevea brasiliensis (rubber tree). Lineage: Eukaryota; Viridiplantae; Streptophyta; Magnoliopsida; Malpighiales; Euphorbiaceae. The record is from RNAcentral.
GUCAGAGGCUUCUUUGGCAACCUGGAAUGAGAAUUGUAUUUGAAAAAUUUUAAUGAGCAGAAUAAUAACAGAGUGCAAUAUUGAAUUACAUAGUGUAGAAAAAUAACCAAAAUAAUUUAACAUGCAAUAUAUACAUACAUUUGUAAAGUUAACCGUCUAUACCUAUAUCAACAUGGGUAUUAAAAAGAGAUGUACACUAACAUGUGCUCAAUCUGUGUUCCGUGCUAGCAACAUCACUAGUAACUUGAGAAGAAGUCAUAUGGAUACACUUAAUAAAGGCAGGCCAAUAUGCAUUUGCAUGCAGAUAUGUGCAUCUUUGGUAACUUGUUUGAAGUCCA